RNAcentral lists this ribosomal RNA (477 nucleotides) under uncultured bacterium. Its description in RNAcentral is "partial 16S ribosomal RNA". It matches the Rfam family "Bacterial small subunit ribosomal RNA", at positions 338 to 795 of the family's 1533-position model. The record is from RNAcentral.
CCUACGGGAGGCAGCAGUGAGGAAUAUUGGUCAAUGGGCGGAAGCCUGAACCAGCCAAGUAGCGUGCAGGAUGACGGCCCUACGGGUUGUAAACUGCUUUUAUACGGGAAUAACGCGCCUUACGUGUAGGGCUUUGCAUGUACCGUAUGAAUAAGGACCGGCUAAUUCCGUGCCAGCAGCCGCGGUAAUACGGAAGUUCCGGGCGUUAUCCGGAGUUAUUAGGUGUAAAGGGAGCGUAGGCCGCAUGUCAAGCGUGCUGUGAAAUGUCCGGGCUCAACCCGGGCCUUGCAGCGCGAACUGGCGUGCCGUUGAGACUGACGCCCUUGAGUGAGUGAGAAGUAAGCGGAAUGCGUGGUGUAGCGGUGAAAUGCAGAGAUAUCACGCAGAACGCCGAUUGCGAAGGCAGGUUCCCGGCGCUCAACUGACGCUGAGGCACGAAAGUGCGGGUAUCGAACAGGAUUAGAUACCCUUGUAGUC